Molecule: non-coding RNA, 27 nt
Filed under: Rattus norvegicus (Norway rat)
Lineage: Eukaryota; Metazoa; Chordata; Mammalia; Rodentia; Muridae
Source: RNAcentral
UGAGCUAAAGUCAGAUUAGACAAAUGG